GGAGUUUGGGCCGUGUCUCAGUCCCAAUGUGGCCGAUCACCCUCUCAGGUCGGCUACCGAUCGUCGACUUGGUGGGCCGUUACCUCACCAACUAUCUAAUCGGACGCGAGCCCACCCUUCACCGGAUUGCUCCUUUGACCCCUAAGCCAUGUGACUCUGUGGUCUUAUGCGGUAUUAGUACAACUUUCGCUGUGUUAUCCCCCUGUGAAGGACAGGUUGCUCACGCGUUACUCACCCGUCCGCCGCUAAAACAUCUCAAUCCACUUCCAUCCGAAAACUUCCGCUUCUCAAAAUGUCUCCGCUCGACUUGCAUGUGUUAGGCACGCCGCCAGCGUUCGUCCUCGAGCGAGGAUCAAACUCU
RNAcentral lists this ribosomal RNA (361 nucleotides) under uncultured Coriobacteriales bacterium. Its description in RNAcentral is "partial 16S ribosomal RNA". The record is from RNAcentral. Lineage: Bacteria; Bacillati; Actinomycetota; Coriobacteriia; Coriobacteriales.